RNAcentral lists this long non-coding RNA (344 nucleotides) under Equus caballus (horse). RNAcentral's name for it is "lncRNA (ENSECAG00000060034.1)". The record is from RNAcentral. Lineage: Eukaryota; Metazoa; Chordata; Mammalia; Perissodactyla; Equidae.
CAGAGGAGAAAGUGCCAAGAAGCUGUAAUUUUCCAAAGGCUUGCUGGUUUCCCAUUGAGGAAGACACACCGUAAGAAUAACAUGGUCAAUUCCCCGGGGAGUUUCUAUCCUAAUCUGCUGGAAGCACUCAAUCAGACUAAUUUUACAAGGUGUCUGGCAAGCCGGAGAGAAGCUCAACUUGGCAGUGUUGGGAGAGCGAUAUAUCUGGGUCUCAAUUCUCCAGCACACAUUUGCUUCUCUCCCAGGAGCUCGAGAGUCUAUUUCUUGCUUUCCUUAGAGGCUCCUUUUGUGAACAGCUCCAGAGCUCUGGCUCAUCUGCUACCAAAGACUCGCUAAAAACCCAU